RNAcentral lists this long non-coding RNA (1597 nucleotides) under Triticum aestivum (bread wheat). RNAcentral's name for it is "long non-coding RNA (TAES_LNC009803)". The record is from RNAcentral. Lineage: Eukaryota; Viridiplantae; Streptophyta; Magnoliopsida; Poales; Poaceae.
AUAAAACGAGAGAAAAAACCCCAACAUCGGAAACAUCAUGGAAGAUGCAUGUGAACUCCGGUUUCGAUGAACUCGAGCUUGUCAUGAAGAUGACCAUAAGCUCCGAAUCUCACAUAGAGAAACACCAAACAAGAACCAAGAAAUAUGAUGCAAAGAUGCAAUGUUUUGAGCUCUCUACGAACGAUACGAUCAAGCUACUCACUCGAGAGCCCCCUGGAGAAUAUGACAAUCGAUCCUACAACCCGGUCACCCAACUACCAUCAUGAGACCGAUAAAAUAGAAAAGCCAUCAAGGGCAAAACUUUGCCUUGCACAUAGUCCACUUGAGCUUGUUGAUGACGGUCUUGACUUUCUCAAGUUGGACCACCUUUCUUGAUUGCGUUGGCUCGAUGAAGACUAGUUGAUUGCUCCUCGAUACUCCACUAUGGGUGAGCCACUUUUCGACACAUCUUCACAAGUACAUUGUCACUACAAUGGACGAUAAGCUUCAAGGACGUCAUCUCUCCACAUAGAAUUCUCACGUAGACCAUGGAAUAGUACACAAAUCGUAAUGGACAAUGCUUACCAUACCAUGGGAUCACUUGAUCCCUUUCGGUGCAUCUUCUACGCUUUGCUUGUUGAUCAACUUGAUUCACACUUUGACUUAGUCUUGAUCAACCUUGUAUCAUGUCUUCUACAUGACCGAUCUUUGGAUAAUUCCUUGAAUAGCACUUUGGUCAUCUCAUAAACUCUUUGAAACCAACACAUGGACUUCAAGAAAUGUCUAUGGACAAAUCCUUCAAAUAUAACUCAAGGCAGCCAUUAGUCCAUAGAGAAUAUCAUCAAUUACCAAAACCACACACUGAGGCACCAUACUCUUUCACCAACGAAGCAGUAUAGCUUGUACAUGGCCGACACGUCCAACUAGUUUGUUUGUGACCAAACGACAAUAAAAAGCAAAGUACAUAUUUCUCACAAACUACUUGAUUAGUACGAAAGGCUAGGGAUUUUCCAUCUACAUACUCCCUUCGACUCCAAAAGGUGUACAUAUGUUAAUCAUCUAAAAUUGUGCUUUGACUAUCAAUUAAUCAAAUAAUAUGUUGUUUAUGUCACACAAGUUGCUACUGUUAGAUUUUUUUACUAAAUACACUUUGAAAUUAUGAUUUUGUAAUGGUUAACUAAAUAUUAUACGAGAUGUUUUCGAGCAAAGCAUGAAUUUCUAUAACUGCGGGGUUAAAUAGGGAUCAACAACUGGUAUGCAUUGCAAAUAGACUGGAUCAAAGAUUUGAUUCUACGUGAAGGCCGUCACACGCACCCGUAAUUGCACUACAUCCAACAAAAAUGGCACCACCUUCUUGAUCUCUCCCAACCGAUUCCCAACCUUUUUUCCAUAAUGUCCUGUGGAAAGAACCACCCAUGUUGACCAUGAUUCAAUCCUGAGGUGGUAGCCGCCACUUGACUACUCAGACUUCUUGUUGAAUCGGUAUCCUCCAAAGGAAUUCCUUCCCAGCAACCACCAUUGUUGAUCCUAAAACAAAAGGCAGCCGCGGCCAUAGACAAUUGGUGGGCAAAAGAGCACUAAAAACCAGAGGUAACCAAUAAUUUCUAUAAUGGCGGGG